This 472-nucleotide ribosomal RNA is filed under the name Gymnomeniidae sp. 2-SB FSB-2019. Its description in RNAcentral is "partial large subunit ribosomal RNA". It matches the Rfam family "Bacterial large subunit ribosomal RNA", at positions 1819 to 2599 of the family's 2925-position model. Lineage: Eukaryota; Metazoa; Mollusca; Solenogastres; Pholidoskepia; Gymnomeniidae. The record is from RNAcentral.
UUYUYUYUGAAUUCAAWARKGARUUAAACCYSCCCMGUGGAGUAAUUCUAAACGGCCGCGGAAUUUUAACCGUGCUAAGGUAGCAGAAUCHUUUGUCUUUUAAUUAAAGACUUGUAUGAAUGGUUUAAUGAAAUAAAGCUAUCUCUAAAAUAUUAAAUAAAAAUUAUUUUUAAAGUGAAAAAUCUUUAAUAAAAUAAAAAGACAAAAAGACCCUAUAGAGUUUAAUUUAUCUAUAUAGACCCAUAUAUAUAUAAAUUUAGUUGGGGCAACUAAUGAAAAAAAAAAUUUCUUUUAAAAAAAAAAAAUAAAAUCAUUAAUUUAAUACUAUAAAACAAAUUACCUUAGGGGUAACAGCGUAAUUUUUUUUAAGAGCUCAAAUCGAAGAAAAAAAUUACGACCUCGAUGUUGGAUUAAAGUAACCYAAAAWAGAAAAAGAUUUUWKGGGUAGBCKGUUCGACUAAYAAUUYUUUWC